RNAcentral lists this ribosomal RNA (890 nucleotides) under uncultured bacterium. RNAcentral describes it as "bacterial SSU rRNA". It matches the Rfam family "Bacterial small subunit ribosomal RNA", at positions 28 to 895 of the family's 1533-position model. The record is from RNAcentral.
AACGAACGCUGGCGGCGUGGAUUAGGCAUGCAAGUCGAACGAUCCGCUGAAACCCGUAAGGGCGUAAGUGGAUAGUGGCGCAAGGGUGAGUAACACAUGGGUAAUUUGCCUUCGAAUUUGGGAUAACCUGUCGAAAGACGGGUUAAUACCGGAAAGACUACAGUUCGCAUGGACAGUAGUAAAAGGCGGCCUCUUUUAAAUGCUGUCGUUUGAAGAGAAGCCCGUGUUCUAUUAGCUAGUUGGUGGGGUAACGGCCUACCAAGGUGAUGAUGGAUAGCUGGUCUGAGAGGAUGGUCAGCCACACUGGGACUGAGACACUGCCCAGACUCCUACGGGAGGCUGCAGUCGAGAAUCUUUCGCAAUGGGGGAAACCCUGACGAAGCGACGCCGCGUGAGCGAUGAAGGUCUUCGGAUUGUAAAGCUCUGUCACUUGGGACGAAAUUUAAUUCUGCUAAUACCAGUAUUAAUUGACGGUACCGAGAGAGGAAGCCACGGCUAACUCCGUGCCAGCAGCCGCGGUAAUACGGAGGUGGCUAGCGUUGUUCGGAUUUAUUGGGCGUAAAGAGUGUGUAGGCGUUUUGUCAGGUCGUAUGUGAAAGCCUUUGGCUUAACCAAAGAACUGCAUGCGAAACCGACAGAAUUGAGUACAAGAGAGGAGAACGGAAUUCCCGGUGUAGAGGUGAAAUUCGUAGAUAUCGGGAAGAACACCGGUGGCGAAGGCGGUUCUCUGGCUUGAUACUGACGCUGAGACACGAAAGCUAGGGGAGCAAACAGGAUUAGAUACCCUGGUAGUCCUAGCCGUAAACGAUGGGCACUAGGUGUAGAUCCUUUGGGGUCUGUGCUGCAGCUAACGCAUUAAGUGCCCCGCCUGGGGAGACGAUCGCAAGAUU